GGACGUAUGGUCUAGUGGUACGACGUCUCAGUUGCAAAUAAAUGUUCGCUGCGCUUGAACCUGUUACAAGACAGGUGAAAGAGUUCGAAGGUUAUAAAUGCUCCUUGAGAAGGCCCCAGGUUCGAACCCUGGUACGUCCA
This is a non-coding RNA of Apiosordaria backusii, 140 nucleotides long. Lineage: Eukaryota; Fungi; Ascomycota; Sordariomycetes; Sordariales; Lasiosphaeriaceae. The record is from the annotation of a GenBank genome assembly.